UCAGGAUGAACGCUGGCGGCGUGCCUAAUACAUGCAAGUCGAACGAGCGAGAUCCAGCUUGCUGGAUUAGCGAGUGGCGAACGGGUGAGUAAUACGUAAGCAACCUGCCUACACGGACUGGGAUAACACCUGGAAACGGGCGCUAAUACCGGAUAGGUAACGAGAGGGCAUCCUCUUGUUAUUAAAGGUUUGAAACACAAGUAGAUGGGCUUACGGUGCAUUAGCUAGUUGGUGAGGUAACGGCCCACCAAGGCGAUGAUGCAUAGCCGGCCUGAGAGGGUGAACGGCCACAUUGGGACUGAGACACGGCCCAGACUCCUACGGGAGGCAGCAGUAGGGAAUUUUCGGCAAUGGGCGCAAGCCUGACCGAGCAACGCUGCGUGAGUGAAUGAAGGUUUUCGGAUCGUAAAGCUCUGUUGUAAGGGAAGAAUGGCGCGGAUAGACUCCGCGAUUGACGGUACCUUACCAGAAAGCCACGGCUAACUACGUGCCAGCAGCAGC
This 501-nucleotide ribosomal RNA is filed under the name uncultured bacterium. Its description in RNAcentral is "bacterial SSU rRNA". It matches the Rfam family "Bacterial small subunit ribosomal RNA", at positions 24 to 518 of the family's 1533-position model. The record is from RNAcentral.